Molecule: transfer RNA, 74 nt
Filed under: Candidatus Woesearchaeota archaeon
Lineage: Archaea; Nanobdellati; Candidatus Woesearchaeota
Description: tRNA-Ile
Rfam family: tRNA
About the family: Transfer RNA (tRNA) molecules are approximately 80 nucleotides in length. Their secondary structure includes four short double-helical elements and three loops (D, anti-codon, and T loops).
Source: RNAcentral
GGGCCCGUAGCUUAGUCUGGGGGAGCGAUGGUCUUAUACACCAUUGGUCGGCGGUUCAAAUCCGCCCGGGCUCA